RNAcentral lists this ribosomal RNA (460 nucleotides) under uncultured bacterium. Its description in RNAcentral is "partial 16S ribosomal RNA". It matches the Rfam family "Bacterial small subunit ribosomal RNA", at positions 338 to 795 of the family's 1533-position model. The record is from RNAcentral.
CCUACGGGAGGCUGCCGUGAGGAAUAUUGGUCAAUGGGCGGAAGCCUGAACCAGCCAAGUCGCGUGAGGGAUUAAGGCCCUGCGGGUCGUAAACCUCUUUUAUAAGGGAAUAAAGUGUGGGACGUGUCCUAUUUUGUAUGUACCUUAUGAAUAAGGAUCGGCUAACUCCGUGCCAGCAGCCGCGGUAAUACGGAGGAUCCGAGCGUUAUCCGGAUUUAUUGGGUUUAAAGGGUGCGUAGGCGGCCUUUUAAGUCAGCGGGGAAAGUCUGUGGCUCAACCAUAGAAUUGCCGUUGAAACUGGGGGGCUUGUGUAUGUUUGAGGCAGGCGGAAUGCGUGGUGUAGCGGUGAAAUGCUUAGAUAUCACGCAGAACCCCGAUUGCGAAGGCAGCCUGCCAAGCCAUGACUGACGCUGAUGCACGAAAGCGUGGGGAUCAAACAGGAUUAGAUACCCGAGUAGUC